Molecule: ribosomal RNA, 511 nt
Filed under: uncultured bacterium
Lineage: Bacteria
Description: bacterial SSU rRNA
Rfam family: Bacterial small subunit ribosomal RNA
Source: RNAcentral
GAUCCUGGCUCAGGAUGAACGCUAGCGACAGGCUUAACACAUGCAAGUCGAGGGGCAGCAUAAAAGUAGCAAUACUUUGGUGGCGACCGGCGCACGGGUGAGUAACGCGUAUGCAACCUACCUAUCAGAGGGGAAUAACCCGGCGAAAGUCGGACUAAUACCGCAUAAAACAGGGACACCGCAUGGUGAUAUUUGUUAAAGAAAUUCGCUGAUAGAUGGGCAUGCGUUCCAUUAGGUAGUUGGUGAGGUAACGGCUCACCAAGCCGACGAUGGAUAGGGGAACUGAGAGGUUGGUCCCCCACACUGGUACUGAGACACGGACCAGACUCCUACGGGAGGCAGCAGUGAGGAAUAUUGGUCAAUGGGCGAGAGCCUGAACCAGCCAAGUCGCGUGAAGGAAGAAGGAUCUAUGGUUCGUAAACUUCUUUUGCAGGGGAAUAAAGUGCAGGACGUGUCCUGUUUUGUAUGUACCCUGAGAAUAAGGAUCGGCUAACUCCGUGCCAGCCGCCGC